CCGCCGGUAGUGUAGUGGUUAUCGCACCAGACUGGUAUUCUGGAGGUCGUGGGUUCGAUCCCACCCUGGCGGG
RNAcentral lists this transfer RNA (73 nucleotides) under Haemaphysalis longicornis (longhorned tick). It matches the Rfam family "tRNA". Rfam says of the family: Transfer RNA (tRNA) molecules are approximately 80 nucleotides in length. Their secondary structure includes four short double-helical elements and three loops (D, anti-codon, and T loops). Further hydrogen bonds mediate the characteristic L-shaped molecular structure. tRNAs have two regions of fundamental functional importance: the anti-codon, which is responsible for specific mRNA codon recognition, and the 3' end, to which the tRNAs corresponding amino acid is attached (by aminoacyl-tRNA synthetases). tRNAs cope with the degeneracy of the genetic code in two manners: having more than one tRNA (with a specific anti-codon) for a particular amino acid; and 'wobble' base-pairing, i.e. permitting non-standard base-pairing at the 3rd anti-codon position. The record is from Rfam by way of RNAcentral. Lineage: Eukaryota; Metazoa; Arthropoda; Arachnida; Ixodida; Ixodidae.